RNAcentral lists this ribosomal RNA (253 nucleotides) under uncultured bacterium. Its description in RNAcentral is "partial 16S ribosomal RNA". It matches the Rfam family "Bacterial small subunit ribosomal RNA", at positions 524 to 776 of the family's 1533-position model. The record is from RNAcentral.
UACGGAGGGGGCUAGCGUUGUUCGGAAUUACUGGGCGUAAAGCGCACGUAGGCGGACUGACCAGUUGGGGGUGAAAGCCCGAGGCUUAACCUCGGAACUGCCCUCAAUACUGCCAGUCUCGAGUCCGGGAGAGGUGAGUGGAAUUCCUAGUGUAGAGGUGAAAUUCGUAGAUAUUAGGAAGAACACCAGUGGCGAAGGCGGCGCUCUGGCCCGGUACUGACGCUGAGGUGCGAAAGCGUGGGGAGCAAACAGG